This 436-nucleotide ribosomal RNA is filed under the name uncultured bacterium. RNAcentral describes it as "bacterial SSU rRNA". It matches the Rfam family "Bacterial small subunit ribosomal RNA", at positions 401 to 831 of the family's 1533-position model. The record is from RNAcentral.
GUGGGUGACGAAGGCUUUCGGGUCGUAAAGCCCUGUCGGAAGAGAAGAAAAACGGUAUGGCUAACAUCCAUACCGCUUGACGGUACCUUCAAAGGAAGCACCGGCUAACUACGUGCCAGCAGCCGCGGUAAUACGUAGGGUGCGAGCGUUGUUCGGAAUCAUUGGGCGUAAAGCGCGUGCAGGUGGUUAGGUAAGUCGGAUGUGAAAUCCCUGGGCUCAACCGAGGAAGUGCAUUCGAAACUACCUAACUAGAGGACGGUAGAGGAAGGUAGAAUUCCUAGUGGAGAGGUGAAAUUCGUAGAUAUUAGGAGGAAUACCGGCGGCGAAGGCGGCUCUGGCCGUUCCUGACACUGAGACGCGAAAGCGUGGGUAGCAAACAGGAUUAGAUACCCUGGUAGUCCACGCCGUAAACGAUGGGUACUAGGUGUUGCGGGAA